AGAGUUUGAUCCUGGCUCAGGACGAACGCUGGCGGCGUGCCUAAUACAUGCAAGUCGAGCGGACCAAUUAAGAAGCUUGCUUUUUGAUUGGUUAGCGGCGGACGGGUGAGUAACACGUGGGUAACCUGCCCUAUAGACUGGGAUAACUCGCGGAAACGUGAGCUAAUACCGGAUAACACAUCAAAGUGCAUGCUUUGAUGUUGAAAGAUGGUUCUGCUAUCACUAUAGGAUGGGCCCGCGGCGCAUUAGCUAGUUGGUGGGGUAACGGCCUACCAAGGCGACGAUGCGUAGCCGACCUGAGAGGGUGAUCGGCCACACUGGGACUGAGACACGGCCCAGACUCCUACGGGAGGCAGCAGUAGGGAAUCUUCCACAAUGGGCGAAAGCCUGAUGGAGCAACGCCGCGUGAGCGAAGAAGGUCUUCGGAUCGUAAAG
Molecule: ribosomal RNA, 435 nt
Filed under: Bacillus sp. N-39-55-4
Lineage: Bacteria; Bacillati; Bacillota; Bacilli; Caryophanales; Bacillaceae
Description: bacterial SSU rRNA
Rfam family: Bacterial small subunit ribosomal RNA
Source: RNAcentral